UACAGAGGUCUCAAGCGUUGUUCGGAUUCAUUGGGCGUAAAGGGUGCGUAGGCGGCGCGGUAAGUCGGAUGUGAAAUCCCGGGGCUUAACUUCGGAACUGCAUUCGAUACUGCGAUACUCGAGGACUCGAGAGGAGAUUGGAAUUCACGGUGUAGCAGUGAAAUGCGUAGAUAUCGUGAGGAAGACCAGUGGCGAAGGCGGAUCUCUGGAGAGUUCCUGACGCUGAGGCACGAAGGCCAGGGGAGCAAACGGG
This 253-nucleotide ribosomal RNA is filed under the name uncultured bacterium. RNAcentral describes it as "partial 16S ribosomal RNA". It matches the Rfam family "Bacterial small subunit ribosomal RNA", at positions 524 to 776 of the family's 1533-position model. The record is from RNAcentral.